Molecule: long non-coding RNA, 2412 nt
Filed under: Equus caballus (horse)
Lineage: Eukaryota; Metazoa; Chordata; Mammalia; Perissodactyla; Equidae
Description: lncRNA (ENSECAG00000041039.2)
Source: RNAcentral
GUGAGUAAAUUCUGUAUAGAAAGUAAAAAAUUGCUGCCUCGAAUUGUCUACCCACUGGUCCUGGUUGUGCCCCUGAGGCUGUUCAAAUAACCACAUCCGUUUCCCACAUGUAGGCCUUUCAGAUGUUUGGGGGCAGCACACAGACCCUCUGUCCAUGUCCUCUCUCUUGGCUAAGUGUCCACAGUCCCCCAGACAUCCCUCCUGGGGUCUGCUUUCAAGUGCGUUCAUCAUCCUGGCUGCUGACCUCUCAUCUGUGGCCCUCUUCAGGUGUGGCCCUCCUCGGGUGUGGCCCUCAGAGCUGAUCUCGCUCCCUGGACUUCUCUGGACAUGCCUGUUGCUUCUGUGGCCCCAUUAUCCUCCAGGCCAGUUAAGAGCUGUGGCUGCUGUUGGCAUAGCUGGUGGUGGCUGCUGUCUAAUUUCUCACUCAGCCCUACCUCUUUUGCUGCGUGGAACCAAACUGCGAUGGAGAAGCUCCUGGUCUAGCCCACUGUGGCAAACAAUGUUUGUCUUGAGAAUGGAAGCAAGCUGGGCAGCAGAAUGGAAAUCCAGUGUUAUUGGCAGGUCGGCUCAGGAUCAUUGCUCCAAUUCCUGGGGCAGCUGGGAGACAGAAGUGCUGAUGAGGAAAAUCUUAGUUGGCCCUGUGUCAGGUGAAGAGCAUGAGGCCAUGUACAAAAUCUGAAGACGAUUACUGCAGAACCCCAGCAUGCUUCAGGGAGUACUGUGGUCUCCAAGCCUGUCAGAGUCCCUUGAGAGGCAAUGCUGGGCCCCUCCCAGACGUCCCCCAAAGCUGGAGCAUGUUGGUUUCUGUUCUUCCACCUGGCACUGAGCUGUGGCUCACAGACAUUUUGCAUCAUUAGUUCCAUAUGCUGUUAUUUGGACAAAUUUAAGCUGAAGCAUAUUCCUGAAUGCCUGUAAGUGCUCAUGUUUAUCACUACAGCUCUUAUUCUGGCAGCAAAAGCUGCGUCAAAUGGUGGCCCUCUAAUAUCACAGGACCGAGAAGCCGAGCAGAAUGGCAACAUGCAGGCAGCAUCCCAGGGUGUGCCCAGGGUGCAGAACCCACCUCCAGCAGAGUGAGGGAAAGUCUUUUUUUGGUACCUUGCAUGGCCCAGGCACUGUGCUAGACUCAGGGGACAUAACCAGGGACAAGACAGACCCAGUCAGGCCCUCCAGAGAGCAGCGGUCCUCAGAUGUUGGCAAGCACCAUUUAAACACGAAGAUAUGUGGGCCCCAUCCCUCAGAGUUGGAGUCACUGGGUGUGGGGCAGCGCCUGGGAAUCUGCAUGUUCAACAUCCUUCUGCGUGACUGUGAAGCAGAGGGUCAGGUGACCGUGGUUUGAGAAAUACCGGCCUGGGGCCUCACUACUCAGAGCAUGGUCUGUGGACCUCUCCUCCCCCCGUCAGCAUCCCCUCAGAACUGGUUAGACAUGCAGAAUUUCAGGCUCCACCCCACCCCUACUGAAUCAUAAUGGGCAUUUUAAGCUGAUUCCCAGGAGGAUGUGUGUGCAGGUUAAAGUUUGGGAAGCAUUGCCAGUGCAAGGUCCAAGGGAGCUUUUUACCCUGCUUCUGUGUUGUUUUGAUAAGAGAACGAAUAUAUUCAUGUAUUACUUGGUAAUUAAAAAUAAAUUAAUGAAAAACUUGGCAUAAACCAGGAAAAUCUUGUACAGGAACGUUCAGAGCAGCUCUCUCCAUAAUGGCCCCAAACUGGGAACAGCCUAAAUGUCCAUCGCAGGUGAAUGGAUAAACAAAAGGCGGCAUAUUCAAAAAAUGGAAUACUGCUCAGCAAUAAAAAGGAACAACAUACAACAAUAUGGAUGCCAGUGCAUUGUACUAAGUGGAAGGAGCCUGACCCGAAAAGCUACAAGCAAGGAAGUAAAACUACUUUGCUACUGAAGGGAGAUUUCUUUCCCCACCCAGCAACAGCCCAGCCAAUGAAAAAUGCCACAGCCCAGCCAAUGAGAGACACUGCAGCUCAGCCAAUGAGAAAUGCCACAGCUCAGCCAAUGAGAGACACUGCAGCUCAGCCAAUGAGAAACGCCACAGCUCAGCCAAUGAGAGACACUGCAGCUCAGCCAAUGAGAAAUGCCACAGCUCAGCCAAUGAGAAGCCAUUGCUGUGCCUAACCACUCCUGGUGUGUCCCUACAUGAUUUGAAUCAAUUUUUGCUCAAGUAAACUCAAAAUUUUAGUAUGCCUCAGUUUAUCUUUUAACAAAGAUUAAGAACCUAUCUCUGGAGCCAGAUUGCUUGGAUUCUGUUUCCAGCUCUAUCAUCUGCUACCUGUGUGACCUUAGACAAAUUUUGCCUACUCUCUGUGCCUCAGUUUCCUUGUCUGUAAAACAGAAAAAGUGAUAGUACUUGUCUGGAAGAGCUGUGUCAGAAUUUUUAAAAGUCAUAUUAUUGUAAAGCAUUUAGGACA